RNAcentral lists this long non-coding RNA (2647 nucleotides) under Setaria italica (foxtail millet). Its description in RNAcentral is "long non-coding RNA (SITA_LNC004923)". Lineage: Eukaryota; Viridiplantae; Streptophyta; Magnoliopsida; Poales; Poaceae. The record is from RNAcentral.
AGGAAGGCCAACCGCCGUUUUGGGCCGAGAGAGAGACGCCGGCCCAGCUAAAGCCCGCGCGGCAUAGAAGAAAAGGGAGAAAGAAAAGAGGGGCCGCCGUCCGUCGUGGGCCAAGGGGAGGAGGAAGCAGGCCGGUUGGUGAACUUGGGCCAGGAGUCCAAGUCUCGGUGGGGGAGGCCCAGGUGGAGCGGGAGAGAAGGAGUAGGCCGGUCACCCGUCUUGGGCCAAGGGAAAGAAUUGGCCCAGCUGGCCCGCACGGCAUAAAAGAAAAAGGAGGGGUUUAGCAGGCCAGUAGAGUGUUGCUUGGGCCGUGUUGCCCAGUUGCGGUGGAGGAGGCCCAUUAGUGCGUCGACGUUCGUUGGGCCCAUGACCUUUUGAGGAAGAAAGGGAGGACCGGUGGGCUGACGAUCGGGUUGAAAAGAAAAUAGGCCGUGCGGCCCAGAUAGAAGUAAAGGAGGAAGAAGGUGGGCCGGCCGGAGUUGAGAAAGAGGAGAAGAGGAGGAAGCCGGCCCAAAAAGGAGAUACCACGAGGAAGGGUGCCGGCUGUGGGCCCCACUUGUCAAUGAAGAAAAGAAAAAGAAGAAUAGGGGACCGGAUGGGCCCUAGGUGGAAGUGAUGGUGGGUAGAAGCAAGUUAGAAAAGUUUGGGCCGGGGUUUUUUUUAUUAAAUCUUAGGUUUUCUUUUAUUAGAUAAAUAGAUUAAAUGUUGUUUUCACCAUUUAAUUCACAGGAAAUUCUAGAAGUACCCAAAAUUAGUGAAACCAAUUUUAUUGGGAUUUUUUUUUAUUUUUCUUUAUGCAUUAAAAUUCUUAAACCCUAGGAAAAAUAAUAAAAAUUUAGGUAUUUAUUUAAUGCCUUUUUGUUUAAGGUAUUUAAAUAAAUGCUUAAGCCUUAUUAAAUGUAUAAAACUUGAGUAAUGCUUUAUUAUCCACAAAUUAUUAUUAAUUCAUAGGAAUUAGGUUUUUGAGAUUAGAAAAUUAUUAUAAUACUUUUAAAAAUAAAAGGAGAGAUCUAAGGUAGGUUUAGUAAAGGAAAUAAAAAUGGUGGGCUAAUUUUUUUUUAGGGUUUUUGUGUGUUGGCUUGCAACUUUAUCAUGAUAAAUUGUAUAGUCUUUGUUGGCUUGCAACUUUAUCAUGAAGCAAAGUUGUAUAGUCUUGUAUUCAAAAAGUUUUGCAUCUUUAACUCCUGCAUACUACAUCGUAGACAUCACAACUCCUGAAGUGGGAAUUCAUGGAAUUCAGCCGGAGAUGGACAGCUUUCGCAGUGCCUCUUUCAACAAACAAGUUUUCCGAAGAACUAACCUUGUUGAUCCCAGGCAAGCCCCGGUGCAUUUACACCUAUCUAUUUUGAGAUCAUUAUUUCAUGUGACUAGUUAUAAGUUAUGGGUUUAUUGUAUGCACUAAGUCUAGGAGUUGAAUGAAACCCAUUCUUGUGUAUGACUAUGCCUUGAAUUAAGGACAUCUUUGCCACUUGUUCAAAUCCUAGAAACUACCCAAGUCUAGAAUUGCUUACUUGCUUACAUGUUUGGUUUACCAACCUUAAGGCAAACACUUAAGUCAUACAUGUUGCUUAUGAAAGAUAGUUUGGAACAUGGAACCAGACAGAAGCUAGAGAUGUAGUUCUGUCUACUAGGUUAAUCUGGUUAAGGACCGAUCCGUGUCUUAACCAUUGAUCAAGUGAUAACCUCUGAUCACUUACUGGGUAUGGGACCAGUAAAGCCCAGUAGAUUAGUAAAUUCUAUGAUCAGGAAUACUUCGUACCCGCAUUUGACGUGCUGGAGAUUGGCAGGGGUGUAGCCUGAAACUCACAUGGAGAUCAGGCCAGACGUGGGGUCCCAUGUGGGGGUGCAUCCCUGGGUCCGGGUAGUUGUAUUCCUAAUCAUUGACUUUGCUAAUCGAGAGGUUGUGAGAUACGACCGGAACAGUCGUAUAAUGCUGGUGAUCGGGGUACUCUCCUGCAGGAUGUAAUUAGAUCUGGAUCGCCGCAAUUCUCGGUUAUGAAUGCACUUGAUCGUUGUUAAGCAUCGUAGUAUCAACUCAUGCGAUAUAAAAUCUCCUGUUGUCAAGUAAUGUAUGACUCAACAGCUGUGGUUGCUUUUACUUCUGUUAUCAUCUAGAAUGGUUAGGUAAUGAUUUAACUAAAAUAAAAGAUAAAACUAAGGCCUCACUCGUAGUAAGCUUUUUCGGCAAAAAUUGUGUCAACCAAGCACACCCAAAGGCUGACUUGCAUUCCAAAGAAAUACUAUUAUAUUGGUUAGUCGGGUAAGACUUGCUGAGUACUUCGUACUCAGGGGAUCCCUUGUUGUUGUUUUCAGAAGCCCAGCGGGGACUCACCGAAGAGGAAGCCCUGAAGACCUAGGGUAUCUUAUGAGUCUCAUGAUACCCUAGAAUAAAACUUAGAUGUUUAUCUUUCUUCCGGACCGGUUUAUGUUUUAAAUUCUUGAAACCACGCUAACCUGCAUUAUUAAGUUUGUUUCAAACUAUGGUUGUAAUAUAUCGUACCUUUGUUAUUUCUUUAAAAAUGUAAUAUUUGUUGGUAUUAUCCCAUCGCGGAUAUUAUCCUGAGGUAUGGCUAUGAGACACAUCGUGGAUCCUUCGAGGAGUCCUAGGGACACUCGACGGACUACCGGACUUAUGCUGUUUUAGGUG